RNAcentral lists this ribosomal RNA (537 nucleotides) under uncultured bacterium. RNAcentral's name for it is "bacterial SSU rRNA". It matches the Rfam family "Bacterial small subunit ribosomal RNA", at positions 777 to 1308 of the family's 1533-position model. The record is from RNAcentral.
AAUAGAUACCCCCGGUAGUCCACGCCGUAAACGAUGAGUGCUAAGUGUUAGAGGGUUUCCGCCCUUUAGUGCUGCAGCAAAACGCAUUAAGCACUCCGGCCUGGGGGAGUACGGUCGCAAGACUGAAACUCAAAGGAAUUGACGGGGGCCCGCACAAGCGGUGGAGCAUGUGGUUUAAUUCGAAGCAACGCGAAGAACCUUACCAGGUCUUGACAUCCUUCGCUACUUCUAGAGAUAGAAGGUUCCCCUUCGGGGGACGGAGUGACAGGUGGUGCAUGGUUGUCGUCAGCUCGUGUCGUGAGAUGUUGGGUUAAGUCCCGCAACGAGCGCAACCCUUGACCUUAGUUGCCAGCAUUCAGUUGGGCACUCUAAGGUGACUGCCGGUGACAAACCGGAGGAAGGUGGGGAUGACGUCAAAUCAUCAUGCCCCUUAUGACCUGGGCUACACACGUGCUACAAUGGAUGGUACAAAGGGCUGCAAGACUGCGAAGUCAAGCCAAUCCCAUAAAACCAUUCUCAGUUCGGAUUGCAGGCUGC